AUUAAACGCUGGCGGCAUGCCUUACACAUGCAAGUCGAACGGCAGCACGGGGGCGACCCUGGUGGCGAGUGGCGGACGGGUGAGUAAAGCAUCGGAACGUGCCCUGGAAUGGGGGAUAACGUAGCGAAAGUUACGCUAAUACCGCAUAUUCUGUGAGCAGGAAAGCAGGGGAUCGCAAGACCUUGCGUUCUGGGAUCGGCCGAUGUCGGAUUAGCUAGUUGGUGGGGUAAAGGCCUACCAAGGCGACGAUCCGUAGCGGGUCUGAGAGGAUGAUCCGCCACACUGGGACUGAGACACGGCCCAGACUCCUACGGGAGGCAGCAGUGGGGAAUUUUGGACAAUGGGCGCAAGCCUGAUCCAGCCAUGCCGCGUGAGUGAAGAAGGCCU
RNAcentral lists this ribosomal RNA (387 nucleotides) under uncultured bacterium. Its description in RNAcentral is "bacterial SSU rRNA". It matches the Rfam family "Bacterial small subunit ribosomal RNA", at positions 29 to 417 of the family's 1533-position model. The record is from RNAcentral.